GACGGUGACGGCGACGGCGACGGAGACGACGGUGGAGGUGACGAGGGCUCAGCAAGGGGAGUGACGAGGCGAUUCGAGGGUGACGAGGCGGUCGGCAAGGGGCGGGACGUGGGCUCGGCGACGGCGACGGCGACGGAGAUGACGGUGGGAGUGGGCUCGGCGGCGGCGGCGGGGGAGAGGAGGAUGGGUCGCGGGCGGUGGAGAGGAGGGUGAGGAGGGAGGCAACAGUGAAGAAGGAGGGUGAGGAGGGAGGCGACGGUCCGAUCCGCCUCUUUUUUUUCGGCGAGAAAAAAAAAAAGAACGACAGAAACGAAAAGGAGAGAGAAAGAGGAAAGAGAAAAAGUAAUAAGGGUAUUUUGGUCAGUUUGCUGAAAAAGCGGAUCGAAUCUGCAAAAACGAAAAAGGUGGCCCGAUUUUGCAAAAGUCCAAAAUAAGUGGAUUUUUUAUGCAAAUUGGCCAAUUAUGUUCUUUAUUUAUUUAUUUAAUUUCAUAAAAUAUGGUUAAAUGUGGUUAGUACACGUGUCGCGUUUUCAUUGGUGGUUGAAAAGAAUUUAGAGCUAGUUCGACGAGGCGGCAUAUGCUUUGUGCGGUCAAAAAGUUAGGUCUAAAAUAUACAUCGUAGACUAUAUCAUAUUUAGUUAAUUCGGAUUCAGCAAAAAUUCGAUAUGAAUAUAAUUCGGAUAAAAUUUAUUUUUUAAUUUUUAAAUUCGUUAAAAAAUACAGCUAAAAAAUGGAUUCACCAAUUAUUUGGAUAUGCGAUUUA
RNAcentral lists this long non-coding RNA (763 nucleotides) under Ananas comosus (pineapple). Its description in RNAcentral is "long non-coding RNA (ACOM_LNC016759)". Lineage: Eukaryota; Viridiplantae; Streptophyta; Magnoliopsida; Poales; Bromeliaceae. The record is from RNAcentral.